CAAGUGUUUGUAAAGUAUGCUCUGAUGUUGCGGUCCAUGGAAUUUCUUUUCCCUCCUUUGGUGAUGAAUCAUAACAACUUGGAAACUUCCAUUGUGAUGUUGAAUAUGUGGUUAUUAGGUAUGAUGUUGUGCAAAAUCAAAAUCUCUCAUAGUUUUGCUUCAAGGGUCAGGUUUUGGCGUAGAAACGACAUGGGAUUGUUUGUGAUGCCCAUCACAUUUAUUUGUUUCUUUUUUGAAAAUAUCCACUUGUAAUUUUGUCAACGUCCCAAAUUGUUAUGAAUAAUUGUUGAACAAAUAAAUCCAAAUCUUCUUCAAUAAGCUUGAAUGAGUUACCGAGGAAUGUAUUGAUGGUUACUUUGUUAUAUGGUACUCGUACUCAUGAAACUAUUGAAAAAUGUUACAAUGAUUCUUCAUAUGUUGGAAUAACAUUAACAUAUAAUUCUGUGAUGA
This 450-nucleotide long non-coding RNA is filed under the name Lathyrus oleraceus (garden pea). RNAcentral describes it as "Pisum sativum (pea) long non-coding RNA (PSAT_LNC005263)". Lineage: Eukaryota; Viridiplantae; Streptophyta; Magnoliopsida; Fabales; Fabaceae. The record is from RNAcentral.